GUAACACGCAAAGAACCUGCCCUCAGGUUUGGGAUAACCACGAGAAAUCGGGGCUAAUACCGGAUGGGUCAUCGGACCGCAUGGUCCGAGGAUGAAAGGCGCUUCGGCGUCGCCUGGGGAUGGCUUUGCGGUGCAUUAGCUAGUUGGUGGGGUAAUGGCCCACCAAGGCGACGAUGCAUAGCCGACCUGAGAGGGUGAUCGGCCACACUAGGACUGAGACACGGCCCAGACUCCUACGGGAGGCAGCAGUAGGGAAUCUUCCACAAUGGACGAAAGUCUGAUGGAGCAACGCCGCGUGAACGAUGAAGGCCUUCGGGUCGUAAAGUUCUGUUGUAAGGGAAGAACAAGUGCCGCAGGCAAUGGCGGCACCUUGACGGUACCUUGCGAGAAAGCCACGGCUAACUACGUGCCAGCAGCCGCGGUAAUACGUAGGUGGCAAGCGUUGUCCGGAAUUAUUGGGCGUAAAGCGCGCGCAGGCGGCCUCUUAAGUCUGAUGUGAAAGCCCCCGGCUCAACCGGGGAGGGCCAUUGGAAACUGGGAGGCUUGAGUAUAGGAGAGAAGAGUGGAAUUCCACGUGUAGCGGUGAAAUGCGUAGAGAUGUGGAGGAACACCAGUGGCGAAGGCGACUCCUUGGCCUAUAACUGACGCUGAGGCG
Molecule: ribosomal RNA, 655 nt
Filed under: uncultured bacterium
Lineage: Bacteria
Description: bacterial SSU rRNA
Rfam family: Bacterial small subunit ribosomal RNA
Source: RNAcentral